This 760-nucleotide ribosomal RNA is filed under the name uncultured Prevotella sp. Its description in RNAcentral is "bacterial SSU rRNA". It matches the Rfam family "Bacterial small subunit ribosomal RNA", at positions 28 to 776 of the family's 1533-position model. Lineage: Bacteria; Pseudomonadati; Bacteroidota; Bacteroidia; Bacteroidales; Prevotellaceae. The record is from RNAcentral.
GAUGAACGCUGGCUACAGGCUUAACACAUGCAAGUCGAGGGGAAACGACGGGGAAGCUUGCUUCCCCGGGCGUCGACCGGCGCACGGGUGAGUAACGCGUAUCCAACCUGCCUCUGACUGAGGGAUAACCCGUCGAAAGUCGGCCUAAUACCUCAUGGCAUCGUCUGCGGGCAUCCAACGACGAUUAAAGAUUUCAUCGGUCAGGGAUGGGGAUGCGUCUGAUUAGCUUGUUGGCGGGGUAACGGCCCACCAAGGCGACGAUCAGUAGGGGUUCUGAGAGGAAGGUCCCCCACAUUGGAACUGAGACACGGUCCAAACUCCUACGGGAGGCAGCAGUGAGGAAUAUUGGUCAAUGGGCGAGAGCCUGAACCAGCCAAGUAGCGUGCAGGAUGACGGCCCUAUGGGUUGUAAACUGCUUUUAUGCGGGGAUAAAGUGAAGGACGUGUCUUUCAUUGCAGGUACCGCAUGAAUAAGGACCGGCUAAUUCCGUGCCAGCAGCCGCGGUAAUACGGAAGGUCCGGGCGUUAUCCGGAUUUAUUGGGUUUAAAGGGAGCGUAGGCCGUGGAUUAAGCGUGUUGUGAAAUGCAGGUGCUCAACGUCUGCACUGCAGCGCGAACUGGUCCACUUGAGUGUGCGCAACGCAGGCGGAAUUCGUCGUGUAGCGGUGAAAUGCUUAGAUAUGACGAAGAACUCCGAUUGCGAAGGCAGCUUGCGGGAGCACAACUGACGCUGAAGCUCGAAAGUGCGGGUAUCGGACAGG